This 326-nucleotide ribosomal RNA is filed under the name uncultured bacterium. Its description in RNAcentral is "bacterial SSU rRNA". It matches the Rfam family "Bacterial small subunit ribosomal RNA", at positions 28 to 334 of the family's 1533-position model. The record is from RNAcentral.
GACGAACGCUGGCGGCGCGCUUAACACAUGCAAGUCGAACGGACACAUCCGACGGAAUAGCUUGCUAGGAAGAUGGAUGUUGUUAGUGGCGGACGGGUGAGUAACACGUGAGCAACCUACCUCAGAGUGGGGGACAACAGUUGGAAACGACUGCUAAUACCGCAUAAGAUGGCAGGGUCGCAUGGCCUGGUCAUAAAAGGAGCAAUUCGCUGUAAGAUGGCUUCGCGUCCGAUUAGACAGUUGGCGGGGUAACGGCCCACCAAAUCUACGAUCGGUAGCCGGACUGAGAGGUUGAACGGCCACAUUGGGACUGAGACACGGCCCAG